GAUGAAGAACGCAGCGAAAUGCGAUAAGUAAUGUGAAUUACAGAAUUCAGUGAAUCAUCGAAUCUUUGAACGCACAUUGCGCCCGCCAGUAUUCUGGCGGGCAUGCCUGUUCGAGCGUCAUUUCAACCAUCAAGCCCCAGGCUUGUGUUGGAGCCCUGCGGCUGCCGCAGCCUCCCAAAACCAGUGGCGGGCUCGCUAUCACACCGAGUGCAGUAGUUUACUCUUCGCUCAGGGCGUGUGGCGGGUGCUAGCCGUAAAACCCCCAACUUCUCAAGGUUGACCUCGGAUCAGGUAGGAAUACCCGCUGAACUUAAGCAUAUCAAUAAGCGGAGGA
Molecule: unclassified non-coding RNA, 334 nt
Filed under: soil metagenome
Description: partial contains 5.8S ribosomal RNA, internal transcribed spacer 2, and large subunit ribosomal RNA
Rfam family: 5.8S ribosomal RNA (bases 1-120)
Source: RNAcentral